GUGCUCACUUCAGCAGUACAUAUACUACAAUUGCAACGAUACUGAGAUUAGCAUGGACCCUACAUAAUAAGGAUGACAAGCAAAUUCAUGAAGCAUUUCAUACUUUU
Small nuclear RNA from Cebus imitator (Panamanian white-faced capuchin), 107 nucleotides. The record is from RefSeq and is a predicted model, not a curated record. Lineage: Eukaryota; Metazoa; Chordata; Mammalia; Primates; Cebidae.